CGGAGGGUGCAAGCGUUAUCCGGAUUUACUGGGUUUAAAGGGUGCGUAGGUGGGUCUGUAAGUCAGUGGUGAAAUCUCCGAGCUUAACUCGGAAACUGCCAUUGAUACUAUAGGUCUUGAAUAUCCUGGAGGUAAGCGGAAUAUGUCAUGUAGCGGUGAAAUGCUUAGAUAUGACAUAGAACACCCAUUGCGAAGGCAGCUUACUACGGGAUCAUUGACACUGAGGCACGAAAGCGUGGGGAUCAAACAGGAUUAGAUACCCUGGUAGUCCACGCCCUAAACGAUGGAUACUCGACAUCAGCGAUACACUGUUGGUGUCUGAGCGAAAGCAUUAAGUAUCCCACCUGGGAAGUACGAUCGCAAGAUUG
Molecule: ribosomal RNA, 368 nt
Filed under: uncultured organism
Description: bacterial SSU rRNA
Rfam family: Bacterial small subunit ribosomal RNA
Source: RNAcentral